GGCACCAUUAAAAGCAUAUAAGGAACUAUUAAUUAAUUUACCUAUAUUUUACCAGCUUGUUAAAGCACAGUCUAUCCCAGCAAAUAACUGACCCCUCAGUAAUUACAUAUAAGCCCUGAAAUUUUCCUCCUUAGGAAAACUAAUACCUGGGACUCCAUUUGCAUUGAGUUUGUAGUAACUGUAAGGCAGUUUUUUUAGGGGGGUGGUUGGAGGAGGAGGGACACUUAAGAGUUUAAUACUUUAACUACUAAGUGGAUGUUUUAUUAAUUUAGUGACUUUCUAAGAGAUGUGGUUUAUCGGUGUUAGCUGAGUGAGCAUCCUGCCUCCAGAACAGGCAUUCCUCUUUGACUCAGCUCUCUUCCCCUAAAAAGCAGUGUUAAAACUUGUGUGCAUUUGAUUUUCCCAGAAAGCAUUGCUGCCCUGGAAACAGGCUGGAGGAACUUUGGAAAAGG
Molecule: long non-coding RNA, 452 nt
Filed under: Bos taurus (domestic cattle)
Lineage: Eukaryota; Metazoa; Chordata; Mammalia; Artiodactyla; Bovidae
Description: long non-coding RNA NONBTAT001870
Source: RNAcentral